This 74-nucleotide transfer RNA is filed under the name Chloroflexota bacterium. RNAcentral's name for it is "Chloroflexi bacterium (groundwater metagenome) tRNA-Val". It matches the Rfam family "tRNA". From Rfam's summary of the family: Transfer RNA (tRNA) molecules are approximately 80 nucleotides in length. Their secondary structure includes four short double-helical elements and three loops (D, anti-codon, and T loops). Lineage: Bacteria; Bacillati; Chloroflexota. The record is from RNAcentral.
GGGCGGUUGGCUCAGUUGGCUAGAGCGCCACGUUGACAUCGUGGAGGCCAUAGGUUCAAUUCCUAUACCGCCCA